RNAcentral lists this ribosomal RNA (353 nucleotides) under uncultured bacterium. Its description in RNAcentral is "partial 16S ribosomal RNA". It matches the Rfam family "Bacterial small subunit ribosomal RNA", at positions 338 to 708 of the family's 1533-position model. The record is from RNAcentral.
CCUACGGGUGGCAGCAGUAGGGAAUAUUGCGCAAUGGGCGAAAGCCUGAAGCAGCAACGCCGCGUGAAGGAUGAAGGUUUUCGGAUUGUAAACUCCUUUUGUUAGGGAAGAAAAUGACGGUAUCUAACGAGUAAGCACCGGCUAACUCCGUGCCAGCAGCCGCGGUAAUACGGAGGGUGCAAGCGUUAGUCGGAAUCACUGGGCGUAAAGAGCGCGUAGGCGGGAUAGCAAGUCAGAUGUGAAAUCCUAUGGCUUAACCAUAGAACUGCAUUGGAAACUGGUAAUCUAGAGUAUGGGAGAGGGAGGUGGAAUUCUUGGUGUAGGGGUAAAAUCCGUAGAGAUCAGGAGGAAUA